RNAcentral lists this ribosomal RNA (253 nucleotides) under uncultured bacterium. Its description in RNAcentral is "partial 16S ribosomal RNA". It matches the Rfam family "Bacterial small subunit ribosomal RNA", at positions 524 to 776 of the family's 1533-position model. The record is from RNAcentral.
UACGAAGGGGGCUAGCGUUACUCGGAUUGACUGGGCGUAAAGGGCGCGUAGGCGGAUGGUACAGUCAGACGUGAAAUUCCUGGGCUCAACCUGGGGGCUGCGUUUGAUACGUGCUGUCUGGAGUUCGGAAGAGGGUCGUGGAAUUCCCAGUGUAGAGGUGAAAUUCGUAGAUAUUCGGAAGAACACCAGUGGCGAAGGCGACUUACUGGACACAUAUUGACGCUGAGGUGCGAAAGCGUGGGGAGCAAACAGG